Long non-coding RNA from Ornithodoros turicata, 545 nucleotides. RefSeq lists it as uncharacterized. NCBI's taxonomy places the organism in Eukaryota, Metazoa, Arthropoda, Arachnida, Ixodida, Argasidae. The transcript is spliced from 4 exons. The record is from RefSeq and is a predicted model, not a curated record.
CGUGUCUUAAGCCAUGCACGGUGUAUUAUGGUGCACAAUUCGACGACGCCUCGAUUCUGUUGCACAGAGGACACGCGAUAACUUUGUACAACCGCGGGCAGUAUGUGAGUGCUCCUACCGUCGCGGGGGUAAGGGAGAGGAAGAAAGACCCUGGUGGCUAAUCUGGAACAAUUCAAGAUCGAACGUGCGAGAGUUUCUCCGUUCCAGUGAUGGGAAGUACUUGAAGUACCCAAGUACUGAGAUGUUGUGCCUUGAAGCAGAAUUCCGAUUCGAGGCCAGGAUGGGAAGCAUGGAGGAAACACUGCACAACGGGUGACAACUGCCAUAUCAACAGCCCCCACAAAGAGAUGGAGACUGCUGUGAUGGAGACAGCUGUAAUGUUGUGAUCAUAUUCCCUGAGCGACAAACAGGUCUGCAUCCCAGCGGAACUCGAUUCGAAGCGAAUUUUAAGCUUGCAAAUAGUUUCGCAGCAGCGGCGUCGAGCCGCGCCUUUUCGUGCAAUCUGUGAUAUUUUGACUAUAUGUAGUAGUUCUUAUUCAUUUUUA